UACGUAGGGGCCUAGCGUUGUCCGGAAUUAUUGGGCGUAAAGAGCUCGUAGGCGGUUCGGCAAGUCGGAUGUGAAAUCUCCACGCUUAACGUGGAGGGGCCAUUCGAAACUGCUGUGACUCGAGUCCGGUAGGGGAGUGUGGAAUUCCCGGUGUAGCGGUGAAAUGCGCAGAUAUCAGGAGGAACACCGGUGGCGAAGGCGGGUCUCUGGGCCGAUACUGACGCUGAGGAGCGAAAGCGUGGGGAGCGAACAGG
This 254-nucleotide ribosomal RNA is filed under the name uncultured bacterium. RNAcentral describes it as "partial 16S ribosomal RNA". It matches the Rfam family "Bacterial small subunit ribosomal RNA", at positions 524 to 776 of the family's 1533-position model. The record is from RNAcentral.